Molecule: ribosomal RNA, 491 nt
Filed under: uncultured bacterium
Lineage: Bacteria
Description: bacterial SSU rRNA
Rfam family: Bacterial small subunit ribosomal RNA
Source: RNAcentral
GAUCAUGGCUCAGGAUGAACGCUAGCGGCAGGCUUAACACAUGCAAGUCGAGGGGUAUAGUUCUUCGGAACUAGAGACCGGCGCACGGGUGCGUAACGCGUAUGCAAUCUACCUUUUACAGAGGGAUAGCCCAGAGAAAUUUGGAUUAAUGCCCCAUAGUAUAGUUUUUUCGCAUGAAGAGAUUAUUAAAGUACCAACGGUAAAAGAUGAGCAUGCGUCCCAUUAGCUAGAUGGUAAGGUAACGGCUUACCAUGGCGACGAUGGGUAGGGGUCCUGAGAGGGAGAUCCCCCACACUGGUACUGAGACACGGACCAGACUCCUACGGGAGGCAGCAGUGAGGAAUAUUGGUCAAUGGACGCAAGUCUGAACCAGCCAUGCCGCGUGCAGGAUGACGGUCCUAUGGAUUGUAAACUGCUUUUGUACGAGAAGAAACACUCCUACGUGUAGGAGCUUGACGGUAUCGUAAGAAUAAGGAUCGGCUAACUCCGUG